Molecule: ribosomal RNA, 465 nt
Filed under: uncultured bacterium
Lineage: Bacteria
Description: partial 16S ribosomal RNA
Rfam family: Bacterial small subunit ribosomal RNA
Source: RNAcentral
GACGAACGCUGGCGGCGUGCUUAACACAUGCAAGUCGAACGGAAAGGCCCCUUCGGGGGUACUCGAGUGGCGAACGGGUGAGUAACACGUGAGUAACCUGCCCUUGACUUCGGGAUAACUUCAGGAAACUGGGGCUAAUACCGGAUAGGAAUCCUUGCUGCAUGGUGGGGGUUGGAAAGCUUCGGCGGUUUUGGAUGGACUCGCGGCUUAUCAGCUUGUUGGUGGGGUAGUGGCUUACCAAGGCUUUGACGGGUAGCCGGCCUGAGAGGGCGACCGGCCACAUUGGGACUGAGAUACGGCCCAGACUCCUACGGGUGGCAGCAGUGGGGAAUAUUGCACAAUGGGCGGAAGCCUGAUGCAGCAACGCCGCGUGCGGGAUGACGGCCUUCGGGUUGUAAACCGCUUUCAGCAGGGGCGAAGCUUGUGGUGACGGUACCUGCAGAAGAAGCACCGGCUAACUACGUG